This 447-nucleotide ribosomal RNA is filed under the name uncultured bacterium. RNAcentral's name for it is "partial 16S ribosomal RNA". It matches the Rfam family "Bacterial small subunit ribosomal RNA", at positions 29 to 523 of the family's 1533-position model. The record is from RNAcentral.
AACGAACGCUGGCGGCAGGCCUAACACAUGCAAGUCGAACGCCCCACAAGGGGAGUGGCAGACGGGUGAGUAACACGUGGGAACCUUCCCUAUACUACGGAAUAGCCCAGGGAAACUUGGAGUAAUACCGUAUACGCCCGAGAGGGGAAAGAUUUAUCGGUAUAGGAUGGGCCCGCGUAGGAUUAGCUAGUUGGUGAGGUAAUGGCUCACCAAGGCGACGAUCCUUAGCUGGUCUGAGAGGACGACCAGCCACACUGGGACUGAGACACGGCCCAGACUCCUACGGGAGGCAGCAGUGGGGAAUAUUGGACAAUGGGCGCAAGCCUGAUCCAGCCAUGCCGCGUGAGUGAUGAAGGCCUUAGGGUUGUAAAGCUCUUUUGCCGGGGACGAUAAUGACGGUACCCGGAGAAUAAGUCCCGGCUAACUUCGUGCCAGCCGCCGCCGUAA